This 62-nucleotide transfer RNA is filed under the name Alasmidonta varicosa. RNAcentral's name for it is "tRNA-Glu". The record is from RNAcentral. Lineage: Eukaryota; Metazoa; Mollusca; Bivalvia; Unionida; Unionidae.
UCUAAUUAAGUGUUAACGCACAUUGACUUUUCACGUCAAAGGAGCACACAGUGCAUUUAGUU